UGGGGAAUUUUGCACAAUGGAGGAAACUCUGAUGCAGCGACGCCGCGUGAGUGAUGAAGAUCUUCGGAUUGUAAAACUCUGUCCUUAGUGAAGAUAAUGACAGUAACUAAGAAGCAAGCCCUGGCUAAAUACGUGCCAGCAGCCGCGGUAAUACGUAUGGGGCAAGCGUUGUCCGGAAUUAUUGGGCGUAAAGGGCACGUAGGCGGUUUAAUAAGUCCUAAUUAAAAGGCUAUGGCUCAACCAUAGUAUGGUUAGGAAACUGUUGAACUUGAGUAGAUGAGGGGAAAGUGGAAUUCCAUGUGUAGCGGUGAAAUGCGUAGAUAUAUGGAGGAACACCAAUGGCGAAGGCAACUUUCUGGAAUCAAACUGACGCUGAGGUACGAAGGCGUGGGGAGCAAACAGG
RNAcentral lists this ribosomal RNA (403 nucleotides) under Fusobacteriota bacterium. RNAcentral describes it as "Fusobacteria bacterium partial 16S ribosomal RNA". It matches the Rfam family "Bacterial small subunit ribosomal RNA", at positions 355 to 776 of the family's 1533-position model. The record is from RNAcentral. Lineage: Bacteria; Fusobacteriati; Fusobacteriota.